Molecule: non-coding RNA, 30 nt
Filed under: Mus musculus (house mouse)
Lineage: Eukaryota; Metazoa; Chordata; Mammalia; Rodentia; Muridae
Source: RNAcentral
UGACGAAAAAUCUGCAUGUCUCAGGCUCUC